GGUUAGGUACGUCUUCAGUAGUAGAAAGCAUAACUCGAAAUGAACGUUUAGGGAAAAUUGAAGUUGCAUAUUGCAGAAUUUUUUCCAACAAUUGAAGAUUUAAAUUAAAUUCCGCUUCGCCUAUUUCACUGCUUCCAUGAAUUGCUCGGUCCAUCGCCACAAGCGGUAUAUACUGAAAACCAAAAAUAUCGCUUGUGUUAUGAUAUGCAACGAAAACUCCUUGCAUGUAACCAAGUCUGGCUUGCAGACUAUACUUCAUAAAAGCGGACCUAAUUAAAUCAAAGUACUCUCGCUCGAACGAGAUUCGGUUUCCAUAAUAAUGCGUAAGUUUAUAACUCUUGAACAAUUCCGGCUGUGUCUGAUUCAUACGAACCCCAAAUACAGCUCUCGUCUUCAAAUCAAAGACGCCAGAUUCAGGAAUUUUCUUAUCGUAACAAUCCAGUUGAGAUCUAACCAAAAGCGAAGAACAUCGACCAUACUGAAAGACAUCCUUUAAAG
Schizosaccharomyces pombe (fission yeast) is the source of this 498-nucleotide non-coding RNA. The record is from the annotation of a GenBank genome assembly. NCBI's taxonomy places the organism in Eukaryota, Fungi, Ascomycota, Schizosaccharomycetes, Schizosaccharomycetales, Schizosaccharomycetaceae.